This 16-nucleotide small RNA is filed under the name Arabidopsis thaliana (thale cress). Its description in RNAcentral is "ATSL147550". The record is from RNAcentral. Lineage: Eukaryota; Viridiplantae; Streptophyta; Magnoliopsida; Brassicales; Brassicaceae.
UGAGAGUAAUAUAUAU